AGGACGAACGCUGGCGGCGUGCUUAACACAUGCAAGUCACGGGGGCCCGUAGCAAUACGGGCAACCGGCGAACGGGUGCGUAACACGUGAGCAAUCUGCCGAUCUCUGGGGGAUAGCCAGCCUAACGGCUGGGUAAUACCGCAUACGCUCGUUGGGGGGAGUCCCCUGAUGAGGAAACCUCUGGGGGAGAUCGAGGAGCUCGCGACCUAUCAGCUAGUUGGCGGGGUAACGGCCCACCAAGGCAGCGACGGGUAGCCGGUCUGAGAGGAUGGCCAGCCACAUUGGGACUGCGACACGGCCCAGACUCCUACGGGAGGCAGCAGUGGGGAAUAUUGCGCAAUGGACGAAAGUCUGACGCAGCGACGCCGCGUGUGGGAUGAAGCCUUUCGGGGUGUAAACCACUGUUGCCCGGGACGAAACUCCUCUUUCGAGAGGAUUGGACGGUACCGGGUGAGGAAGCACCGGCUAACUCUGUGCCAGCAGCCGC
Molecule: ribosomal RNA, 487 nt
Filed under: uncultured bacterium
Lineage: Bacteria
Description: SSU rRNA
Rfam family: Bacterial small subunit ribosomal RNA
Source: RNAcentral